CGUGGCCUAGUGGUUAAGACACCAGGCUAAUAACCUUUUGGUCGUGGG
This 48-nucleotide transfer RNA is filed under the name Oxyrrhis marina. Its description in RNAcentral is "partial tRNA". Lineage: Eukaryota; Dinophyceae; Oxyrrhinales; Oxyrrhinaceae. The record is from RNAcentral.